AUGAAGCCAAAUGGACUAUAUCUCACACCCUUGGGUAUCUUAUUAUGAAGUUCUCCAAAUCAGCAAAGAAAGAAUUCUGUUGCUUUAAAGUGAGGAUACAAUGAGAAAGCCAUCUGUAAACCAGCAAGAGGACCUUCACCAAGAACCCAACCGUGCUGGCACCCUGACCUCAGACUUCCAACCUCCAGAGAGAUUGCCAUGAAAAUGAUGUUUGGGUCAAGUUGCCUGGAUUUAGCCAUUGGGAGUCCUUGGUUAUUAGUAGGAUCCUCGAGCGGUAGAAGGACGGAAGCCAGAUUGCGCAGACUUCAACAGGUGGCAGUGUAGCUAUUGAUAGAACACACGGAGAACACCACCUUGACCGGGUCUUGGCAGUGUUUCAGAAAGAGGUAAUCAGAGAAUAGGGACUUCCCUGGAGUCACAGUGGUUAAGAAUCUGCCUGUCAAUGCAGGGGACACGGGUUUGAGCCCUGGUCCGGGAGAAUCCCACAUAGCGCAGAACAACUGAGCUUGUGCACCACAACUACUGAGCCUGCGCUCUAGAGACCACGAGCCACAACUACUGAAGCCCGCGUGCUUAGAGCCUAUGCUCCGCAACAAGAGAAGUCACCACAAUGAGAAGCCUGCGCACCGCAACAAAGAGUAGUCCCCGCUCGCUGCAACUAGAGAAAAGCCUGAGCAGCAACGA
Mesoplodon densirostris (Blainville's beaked whale) is the source of this 684-nucleotide long non-coding RNA. RefSeq lists it as uncharacterized. Lineage: Eukaryota; Metazoa; Chordata; Mammalia; Artiodactyla; Ziphiidae. The transcript is spliced from 5 exons. The record is from RefSeq and is a predicted model, not a curated record.